UGAAUCGCGUUAAUGACAUGUUUAUCCCGCUAUUUCCUCUGCCCCAGUCCUUUCCAUCUUCCCAAAUUCCCCAAAUUGCGUCGUCCCCAUAGUCCCGUCCACCAUAUCACCUCCAAGCGAUCCCAGCGCCGCCGAUCUCCCGUGCCGCCACCACCUCCGCCGCCUCCUGGACAAGAGGCCACCACCAUUGAGCACCACUUCGGCGCGCCUGGUUGCCACCGCGACUCUGGCCUUGGAAGGUCGUCCUACUGUCCUGGAUCGGGGAGGAGGCACGAUUUGGAUCUGGGCGGCGACGGCUAAGCAAGGGCACCUGUGCUAUCGAGAGUGUACAUUGCUUCCAGUGUAACAAGAACAGAAAAUAAGAUAGUUAAAGCAUCGUGGGGACCAGGAGGCCAAGCAGUCUGUGGUGUCUCCGUCGUUGUUGCAAAGAAACAUGCCCAAACUUGGAACUUUCUCUAUCGGUUUAGGUUGGACGAGCAAGACAACAUACUGCAGACUGGGAACAAGAGUAUGUUCGUCAUCAUUGAUAUGUGUUAAUACUCUCCUUGAGAUUGAUUCCUUUGCUUUCGCAAAAAAGCGUCAGAUACAUGGCGAGCUUCAAAAUAUCAGGUUGCAAAUACCAUCGUUGCUUUGGACCUUGCCAUGGAUGGAUGGACACUAAAUGACCACAAAUGCCUCUAGAUUAUUAAUAAGCGUGGUUCUACGUUCAGUGCUUUGGGCAUCUGUUUUGUCUCGGGCUGGUUCUACGUACCUGAUUUUGCUUGGAACAGCCACAGGGGCGAGGAUGUUAUAUUGAUGCAGCUUGGUUUGCUAACUAGCAAUGUUUUGUUUCUUAGACGGACAAACUUGUAUCUCAGAACCUUGAUGAAUUGUUUCAUUUGAUCAGCUUAUGUGGAAACUACUAAUUUUCAUUGCCUCUGUACACACACUUGCAUACCCUUUUUCCUGGUGCUUAUUGGCAAUGGCCCAUUCAUAGGCAUGACCUAGAAGAAAAUAAGAUUGAAGAUGUAUUUU
This is a long non-coding RNA of Triticum dicoccoides, 1014 nucleotides long. RefSeq lists it as uncharacterized. Lineage: Eukaryota; Viridiplantae; Streptophyta; Magnoliopsida; Poales; Poaceae. The transcript is spliced from 5 exons. The record is from RefSeq and is a predicted model, not a curated record.